GAAGAAGAACGCAGCGAAAUGCGAUAAGUAAUGUGAAUUGCAGAAUUCAGUGAAUCAUCGAAUCUUUGAACGCACAUUGCGCCCGCCAGUAUUCUGGCGGGCAUGCCUGUCUGAGCGUCAUUUCAACCCUCAUGCCCCUAGGGCGUGGUGUUGGGGAUCGGCCAAAGCCCGCGAGGGACGGCCGGCCCCUAAAUCUAGUGGCGGACCCGUCGUGGCCUCCUCUGCGAAGUAGUGAUAUUCCGCAUCGGAGAGCGAUGAGCCCCUGCCGUUAAACCCCCAACUUUCCAAGGUUGACCUCAGAUCAGGUAGGAAUACCCGCUGAACUUAAGCAUAUCAAUAAGCGGAGGA
Molecule: unclassified non-coding RNA, 348 nt
Filed under: soil metagenome
Description: partial contains 5.8S ribosomal RNA, internal transcribed spacer 2, and large subunit ribosomal RNA
Rfam family: 5.8S ribosomal RNA (bases 1-120)
Source: RNAcentral